Molecule: long non-coding RNA, 1516 nt
Organism: Schistocerca nitens (vagrant locust)
Lineage: Eukaryota; Metazoa; Arthropoda; Insecta; Orthoptera; Acrididae
Exons: 6
Source: RefSeq, a predicted model, not a curated record
CUUUGGCGACGGCGCAGUCGCUUCUGCAGGCGGUAACGCUCCACAGCUGCCCGCGUUUACGUUCGCUUCUUGUGUUCCAGCAUUGCCAGACUCUGUGCUACGUACAUCUCAACUUCAAGCCCGCAUCUCGGUGGAACACCCGACACGCGGCUGCAAAAGAGUUAUCGAGCAACCGUCGCGCAACGAGUUUUCGUUGCCGUGACUUUUAUUGAAGGCCACUGACGGUAACUGUGCAGUAAACCAUGGUGUUUGUGCUGAAGUUCAGAGGGGACAGACAUGUGGAUAUAUAAGAUUUCUACUAAGAACAUUGUGAUGUGGUAUGUUUUUCUGCUGAUCAAAUAUAACAAGCAAGAGAAGAAGUGUUCGGUGACAUUGUGGGGACUAUAAUUCAGUACCACCUACACAGCAGAUUUCCACGUUACUCAACACGGUGCAGCAGCUACUGGCCAAUGCUGUGCACCCGAUAGAACAAGCACUACCUACUACAGCUGCUAUACCAUCUUUUCGACAGUUUCGUGACCAAGAAGAGGAAUGGCUCGAGUGAUUGUCACAGUCUGAGGCGCACAUCCUAUCUCACAACGUACCAGUCAAAUGGCGAAGCGGAACGUUUUGUCAGAACGUUCAAACAGCAGAUGACCAAACUUCGCUCUGCACACACCAGGGGUCAAGCACUGCAACUGUUUCUCUCCUCAUAUCGCUCGCACCCACGAGAUGGACCAUCGCCGGUGAAAUUGCUUCACAGCCGCCGCCAUCGGACACUGCUCCACCCUCCUCACCAUCCGGCGCCGAAGCAAGGCUAUUCACGGAUCCAGAGGACAGCGCGGCCGCAGCAGCCGCCGAGGGUGUCACCACGACACCGCAGGACGACACCAUGGAGCCUCUGUCUCCUCCGCCUCCUCUCGUCCUACCGAUGAAGCUCGAUCCCCACACAGUGCAGCAGUCGCUGCCUUCUUCAUCUGGUUCAUGGUAUCAGAAGAUGGACUCAUACCCUUCUGGUCUUUUUCUGGGAGACGUUUCCGCCAGAGCGCCGGCCGGAUAGCGGGGUACGACCGGAAGCUUGACGUCCCCUGCAGCCACAGCUUCCGGUCCUGCGAGGCGCCCACUCACCCGCCUCCCCCGCCGUGGUCGCACUCCCUACACGACGACGGUCCGUCGCUUUUGGGGGGGGGGGGGGCAGGAGGAGGAAUGUUCAAGCGUAUCGACAACCGCUCGCAUUAAGAUGAAGAAAGCAAGAACAGAGAAGGCAGUGAGACGGCAGCUAAUAGCCCGCUGACUGGGACCGCACCACGACAGGAGCGCCCUCUAGGCGAAGAGAAUAUAAGUUCCGCUCCUGCCGGCCUCGGCCACACAGUGCCAGGCAGCGACUCGCAGACCAGCACAGUAGGAGAGCACUACGACAGCAGUGACGUGUGAUCCAUAUCAAUUGCUUACGUGGACCUUGUAUAAAGCAAAGGACUCUGACUUGUUUUCGUGUCACCUAUCACUUUCGACUCUGCUGUAAAUUCAAAGUUAGGUA